Molecule: transfer RNA, 72 nt
Filed under: Saprospiraceae bacterium
Lineage: Bacteria; Pseudomonadati; Bacteroidota; Saprospiria; Saprospirales; Saprospiraceae
Description: tRNA-Arg
Rfam family: tRNA
About the family: Transfer RNA (tRNA) molecules are approximately 80 nucleotides in length.
Source: RNAcentral
GAUUCCGUAGUUUAAUGGAUAGAAUAAGAGAUUCCGGUUCUCUUGGUAGGGGUUCGAGUCCCUUCGGAGUCA